UGGGGAAUAUUGGACAAUGGGGGCAACCCUGAUCCAGCCAUGCCGCGUGAGUGACGAAGGCCUUAGGGUUGUAAAACUCUUUCGUCGGGGACGAUAAUGACGGUACCCGAAGAAGAAGCUCCGGCUAACUUCGUGCCAGCAGCCGCGGUAAUACGAAGGGAGCUAGCGUUGUUCGGAAUCACUGGGCGUAAAGCGCACGUAGGCGGAUAGUUAAGUCAGGGGUGAAAUCCUGGGGCUCAACCCCAGAACUGUGGCUGAAACGGCAUAACUAGAGGAUGGCAGGGAUGUAUGGAACUCAUGGAGUAGGGGUGAAAUCCGUUGAUAUCAUGGGGAACACCAAAAGCGAAGGCAGUACAUUGGGCCACUCCUGACACUGAAACACGAAAGCGUAGGUAGCGAAUGGGAUUAGAUACCCCAGUAGUCCCUGAGCGGGCUGGCAAGGCGCAU
RNAcentral lists this ribosomal RNA (447 nucleotides) under uncultured bacterium. RNAcentral describes it as "bacterial SSU rRNA". It matches the Rfam family "Bacterial small subunit ribosomal RNA", at positions 355 to 825 of the family's 1533-position model. The record is from RNAcentral.